UGGCUUGUCAGUUCAAUUGAUAUGACAUGUUAGACGAGAUGUGAAUUGAAACGCCCAUUAAUGUCAAACAGACAUAAAAUAUUAAACAAUCCUUUUUGCAUAUACCCUGGCGGCGUUAAAAAAUGAACGAUAUUCAUUUGAUAACAGUAAAUUGGUGAAAAAUACACUGGCUAUCAACCAACCAACCAGGAUUCUUACAUAAGGUGUAAUUUAUAAGUAAAUGACCUAGAAUGUAAAUUGGUAGGUUUGUUCCCCUUUAAACCUUACCUCGCUCGUUUGUGCUUGCACCCAGUCAGGAUAUCUAAAAUAUGUUUUGUUUGUUGUUUCUUUUUUCGGAGCAGUCUGGUAUUAAUGGUAAUUUUUCUCUGCUGUGAUGUCCAAAAAAGUGAUCAUCCUUAGCAAUACGAAGUGAUAGUACAUGCAAUUGAUACAACACAUUAAUUGAUGUUUCUGAUAUUCUUUUGUAGAAUAUGUUUUGCAUAUUAUGUUUUUGGUGAGUAAGAUCAAUUUUUCAUCGUUAGCUUUUAGAUUACUCUUAUAUUUGAAUAUUUUGCCUGGGA
Molecule: long non-coding RNA, 560 nt
Filed under: Mytilus galloprovincialis (Mediterranean mussel)
Lineage: Eukaryota; Metazoa; Mollusca; Bivalvia; Mytilida; Mytilidae
Source: RNAcentral